GAUGAACGCUGGCGGCGUGCCUAAUACAUGCAAGUCGAGCGAACAGACGAGGAGCUUGCUCCUCUGACGUUAGCGGCGGACGGGUGAGUAACACGUGGAUAACCUACCUAUAAGACUGGGAUAACUUCAGGAAACCGGAGCUAAUACCGGAUAACAUGUUGAACCGCAUGGUUUAACAGUGAAAGACGGUCUUGCUGUCACUUAUAGAUGGAUCCGCGCCGCAUUAGCUAGUUGGUAAGGUAACGGCUUACCAAGGCAACGAUGCGUAGCCGACCUGAGAGGGUGAUCGGCCACACUGGAACUGAGACACGGUCCAGACUCCUACGGGAGGCAGCAGUAGGGAAUCUUCCGCAAUGGGCGAAAGCCUGACGGAGCAACGCCGCGUGAGUGAAGAAGGUCUUCGGAUCGUAAAACUCUGUUAUUAGGGAAGAACAAAUGUGUAAGUAACUAUGCACGUCUUGACGGUACCUAAUCAGAAAGCCACGGCUAACUACGUG
Molecule: ribosomal RNA, 497 nt
Filed under: uncultured bacterium
Lineage: Bacteria
Description: partial 16S ribosomal RNA
Rfam family: Bacterial small subunit ribosomal RNA
Source: RNAcentral